GGAGGGAUCAUUACUGAGUUUACGCUCUACAACCCUUUGUGAACAUACCUAUAACUGUUGCUUCGGCGGGUAGGGUCUCCGCGACCCUCCCGGCCUCCCGCCUCCGGGCGGGUCGGCGCCCGCCGGAGGAUAACCAAACUCUGAUUUAACGACGUUUCUUCUGAGUGGUACAAGCAAAUAAUCAAAACUUUUAACAACGGAUCUCUUGGUUCUGGCAUCGAUGAAGAACGCAGCGAAAUGCGAUAAGUAAUGUGAAUUGCAGAAUUCAGUGAAUCAUCGAAUCUUUGAACGCACAUUGCGCCCGCCAGCAUUCUGGCGGGCAUGCCUGUUCGAGCGUCAUUUCAACCCUCAAGCUCUGCUUGGUGUUGGGGCCCUACAGCUGAUGUAGGCCCUCAAAGGUAGUGGCGGACCCUCUCGGAGCCUCCUUUGCGUAGUAACUUUACGUCUCGCACUGGGAUCCGGAGGGACUCUUGCCGUAAAACCCCCAAUUUUCCAAAGGUUGACCUCGGAUCAGGUAGGAAUACCCGCUGAACUUAAGCAUAUC
RNAcentral lists this ribosomal RNA (544 nucleotides) under Colletotrichum siamense. RNAcentral describes it as "eukaryotic LSU rRNA". The stretch from base 186 to 339 matches the Rfam family "5.8S ribosomal RNA". Lineage: Eukaryota; Fungi; Ascomycota; Sordariomycetes; Glomerellales; Glomerellaceae. The record is from RNAcentral.